GGCCGCUGUCAGAGCCGGCUCGGCCGGCUGCCAGUACCCUGGUGGAGGUGUGUUGAGUUCAUAGCGACCCUGUGAGGUCUUCUGGCUAGAUUCUAGAGGACUUUCUCCAAAAACAACAAGCCACGUGUAAGAAGCAACCUGCUGUGAACUAGAAUUGUGAUGCUGGGAGUGAUCUGAUUCCUGCAGGCCCCUCUCCCUUCUCAGCUCUGCUACGUGGAGAGGCCAUACGAGAAGCCAUAUAAGAAGGAGAGGCCCUGAGAGAAAAGCCUAGCUAGAGGAAUUUAAGGCCAGACCCCUGCUGACCUACUAGCUGGGUGAAUCCACAUGAGUGACCAUUGGCAAGAUCAACAGAAGAGUCACCCAGCUAAGACCGGAUUGCAGAAUUGUAAGCAAAUAAAAUGUUUAUUGUUUUAAGCCA
This 418-nucleotide long non-coding RNA is filed under the name Equus asinus (donkey). RNAcentral describes it as "lncRNA (ENSEASG00005033463.1)". The record is from RNAcentral. Lineage: Eukaryota; Metazoa; Chordata; Mammalia; Perissodactyla; Equidae.